RNAcentral lists this ribosomal RNA (116 nucleotides) under Pteropus alecto (black flying fox). Lineage: Eukaryota; Metazoa; Chordata; Mammalia; Chiroptera; Pteropodidae. The record is from RNAcentral.
GGCUAUGGCCAUGCCACCCUGAACAAGCCCAGUGUCUGAUCUCGGAAGCUAAGCAGGGUCAGGCCUGGUUAGUACUUGGAUGGGAGACCACCCAGGAAGACCAGGUGCUGUAGGCA